CUUCAGUGAGGAUACGAUGACGAGUCUGCAAGGUGUUAUCCCAUUUCAGGUUCUUGAUUCAGGAUCAUGUUCUGUGAUUCUGUUUUCAUGUACCUGAGCAGGGUGUCCUUUUAGCUGAUGUUUAGAGGCAUUUGUCUGCGAAGG
Small nucleolar RNA from Protopterus annectens (West African lungfish), 144 nucleotides. The record is from RefSeq and is a predicted model, not a curated record. NCBI's taxonomy places the organism in Eukaryota, Metazoa, Chordata, Ceratodontiformes, Protopteridae.